Molecule: small RNA, 1047 nt
Filed under: Pongo abelii (Sumatran orangutan)
Lineage: Eukaryota; Metazoa; Chordata; Mammalia; Primates; Hominidae
Description: retained intron
Source: RNAcentral
GUGAGGACGACGUUUGUCACUUACCUGUCCUGAGUCUGGGCGCCAAGGAGGCGUGUAAUAGGUCUCCACCCCAGCUGAAUAGUAAAGUGCUGACAACUGAGACACCAGUCAUCCGAGGGGGCAGAUCCCGGGGCUGCAGCCUUCAGGCUUAGGAGACGAGAGCUCUGGCAGGGAGUGGGGAGGGCCAUUCAGGUAGGUGGGACAGCCCAGGUGAAGGUGUUGCUUGGAGACAGGCACAGGAGCUGUGGGAGAUGAGGCUGGAUUGGAGGGGCCCGCCCAGGUAGGGAGGCUUUGAGGGCCUCUCAGUGGCCAAGGACAGUGGCCGCCCAUCCUGCCCCCUGAUGUCUGGAAGCCUGGGGCUCCCGGGGCUGACUGGGCCCUCUGUGUUGGCCCAUGGCCCAUGGCCCAUGGCAGGAGCGCAUCUUCAUGGAGAAUGUGGGGGCCGUGAAGGAGCUCUGCAAGCUGACAGACAACCUGGAGACGCGCAUUGAUGAGCUGGAGCGCUGGAGCCACAAGCUGGCCAAGCUGCGGCGGCUCGACAGCCUCAAGUCCACCGGCAGCUCGGGCGCCUUCAGGUAGGGGUGCGGGGUGAGGGAAGGUGAGACCCUUCUUCCCAGGGACACCCCUGAUCCUGGCCCUCUUGCUGCAGCCAUGCAGGGAGCCAGUUCAGCCGGGCAGGCAGUGUCCCUCACAAGAAGAGGCCCCCCAAGGUGGCCAGCAAGUCAUCGUCCGUGGUUCCGGACCAGGCCUGCAUCAGCCAGCGCUUCCUGCAGGGAACCAUCAUCGCCCUGGUGGUGGUCAUGGCCUUCAGCGUGGUGUCCAUGUCCACACUGUACGUGCUGAGCCUGCGCACAGAGGAGGACCUGGUAGACACUGAUGGCUCUUUUGCCGUGUCCACUUCCUGUCUCCUGGCCCUGCUCCGGCCCCAGCCCCCUGGGGGGAGUAAGGCCUUGUGCCCAUGGUCCAGCCAGAGCUUUGGGACCACGCAGCUCCGACAGUCCCCCGUGACCACUGGGCUACCAGGCAUACAGCCCUCUUUGCUGCUGG